UCUGAUUAGCUAGUUGGUGAGGUAUAGGCUUACCAAGGCGACGAUCAGUAGCUGGUCUGAGAGGACGACCAGCCACACUGGAACUGAGACACGGUCCAGACUCCUACGGGAGGCAGCAGUGGGGAAUUUUGGACAAUGGGGGCAACCCUGAUCCAGCCAUUCCGCGUGAGUGAAGAAGGCCUUCGGGUUGUAAAGCUCUUUCAGGAGGGAAGAAACGGUUGCAGCUAAUACCUGCGACUAAUGACGGUACCUUCAGAAGAAGCACCGGCUAACUACGUGCCAGCAGCCGCGGUAAUACGUAGGGUGCGAGCGUUAAUCGGAAUUACUGGGCGUAAAGCGUGCGCAGGCGGUUUUGUAAGUCAGAUGUGAAAUCCCCGGGCUUAACCUGGGAACU
RNAcentral lists this ribosomal RNA (394 nucleotides) under uncultured bacterium. Its description in RNAcentral is "bacterial SSU rRNA". It matches the Rfam family "Bacterial small subunit ribosomal RNA", at positions 236 to 622 of the family's 1533-position model. The record is from RNAcentral.